This 350-nucleotide ribosomal RNA is filed under the name uncultured bacterium. RNAcentral's name for it is "bacterial SSU rRNA". It matches the Rfam family "Bacterial small subunit ribosomal RNA", at positions 917 to 1267 of the family's 1533-position model. The record is from RNAcentral.
GGGCCCGCACAAGCGGUGGAGUAUGUGGUUUAAUUCGAUGCAACGCGAAGAACCUUACCAGGGUUUGACAUCCUGCGAAUCUCUUGGAAACAGGAGAGUGCCUUCGGGAACGCAGUGACAGGUGGUGCAUGGCUGUCGUCAGCUCGUGUCGUGAGAUGUUGGGUUAAGUCCCGUAACGAGCGCAACCCUUGUCCUUAGUUGCCAGCACUUCGGGUGGGAACUCUAGAGAGACUGCCGGUGAUAAACCGGAGGAAGGUGUGGAUGACGUCAAGUCAUCAUGCCCCUUACAUCCUGGGCUACACACGUACUACAAUGCUACGGACAAAGGGCAGCAAGUUCGCGAGGACAAG